Non-coding RNA from Misgurnus anguillicaudatus (oriental weatherfish), 1391 nucleotides. The record is from RefSeq and is a predicted model, not a curated record. Lineage: Eukaryota; Metazoa; Chordata; Actinopteri; Cypriniformes; Cobitidae.
UGAAAAAAAUGGACUUAGUGGGUCUUUGAAUUUAAAUAAAAUAAACAUGUAUAUGCAACACAAAAUAUUUAUAUUCCUUGUGUAAACAUAAUUUAAUUGAUUAGGAUUAAAAUGUUUUGUUUGAAUGUAAAAUGAACACAUUAUUCUCACAUUGAUUAAAAUUGAUUGAAUUGAAUACUUAAAGCAAUAAAAUUGGGUUUGCACACAAAAAGGCACCUCCUGAGCAGCAGGGGCAGUAUAGCUCAAUGAAAAGGACGUCAACUGCCAUAAAAGAAGAAUAAAGAUCGUUUGUUUUGGGCGCCAAAAUGAAGACUCAGCAGCAGUCAGUCAGAAGAACUCUCUCAGACGGACACCACGUUAUUAAAGUCCAUCAUCCUUGCAUGCGCUACACAGCAUUGAUAAAUGCUGAAUUUAAAAGAAUCACUACUGUCUAAUGUUCCUGCGUGUCACCUGGACCUCCAAUCCAAAAACCUGAUGAAACUCUUCUAUCAGAAAGGAUGACAGCUAGCAAAAAGGCUUCAAACAAUCAAUGAUCAAAUGACAGAUGGCAUGGAUGAAGUCAGCAUCAGUGAGGUCAUUUGAAGACACCAAUGUUGGGAUUUGUGCUCUCAAACAACAUGCUCUUGUGAUGAAGAAGAGGAUCUUUGUAUAGUCCUGGAAGCCAUGAAGGUGUUGCAACAUCGUGUUUGAGCUGAUGUAUGCCUUAAACCUGAUCUCCGCUUUAUUUUUGAGGAAAUCCAAACUGCAUUGAGAGUAACUUUAACGAACAGUUUCUUUCAGUGAAAGGAUCAGAAAGACUGUGCUGCUCACUUUUGAAGUUUUUAUCUGUUUUAAGUGUUUUCUCUUAUUAAUACAUUAACAGUUUGCUGCUCAGAGUCGAUUUUGGAAAUGGUUGUUGUAUUUUGUUUUUGUUGAAUCUUUGAUUUAACAGUUUAUAAAUGCUGUAGCUCUGACUUUCUGAAGGAGUGAUAUUUUCCAGUUUGUAAAUCCAUUUUAUAAAUAAUAGUACUUACUGUUUUGCAUGUCUCUUUGGAAUGCAGUGUUUGUGCUUUAGCACUUCUAAAUCUACUGUGAUAGUAACUAUUUUAAACAUUUGGGUCAGUUAUACAGAUGGGGCUUUUCCUAGUCCCAGACUUUUGCAAUGCCAUAUAUCAGUGCCAUUGUUUUGUCUAAAGAUGUAUUCCAGUGUUGUUUUUGUAAGGUAGGUUUGUUUGUAAACUUUAUUUUAUUAAAAAUAUCCUAAUAUAACUAGGGCCUAGUCAUGGAUUAAUCUACAACCUGUUUGGGAAAUUGUCCCUUUAUGUAUGUACUGCAUGCUGAUUGUUGUAAUAGUUAUUGACUGUUAAUGAAUUAAUGUGUAGUGAUUUAAAUGAAUUGAUGAUCUGAAAGCA